This 392-nucleotide ribosomal RNA is filed under the name uncultured bacterium. RNAcentral describes it as "partial 16S ribosomal RNA". It matches the Rfam family "Bacterial small subunit ribosomal RNA", at positions 523 to 918 of the family's 1533-position model. The record is from RNAcentral.
AUACGUAGGGGGCAAGCGUUAUCCGGAUUUACUGGGUGUAAAGGGAGCGCAGGCGGCCAUUUAAGUCAGCGGUUAAAUCGUGGGGCUCAACCCCAUUCUGCCGUUGAUACUGGGUGGCUUGAUUGCGGUCGAGGUUGGCGGAAUUCGUUGUGUAGCGGUGAAAUGCAUAGAUAUGACGAAGAACACCGAUUGCGUAGGCAGCUGACCAGACCGCAAAUGACGCUCAUGCACGAAAGUGCGGGGAUCGAACAGGAUUAGAUACCCUGGUAGUCCGCACAGUAAACGAUGAAUACUUGUUUUCGGCGAUAUAAUGUCGGAGGCAAAGCGAAAGCGAUAAGUAUUCCACCUGGGGAGUACGCCGGCAACGGUGAAACUCAAAGGAAUUGACGGGG